RNAcentral lists this long non-coding RNA (978 nucleotides) under Linum usitatissimum (flax). RNAcentral's name for it is "long non-coding RNA (LUSI_LNC005544)". The record is from RNAcentral. Lineage: Eukaryota; Viridiplantae; Streptophyta; Magnoliopsida; Malpighiales; Linaceae.
GUCCAAUCUCCUUAGUAUGAUUUUACACCUACUGCACAACUAGUACAACACCCUGCAACAAGUAGAAACCCGGCGAUGAACACAAAUUCAUCAAUAGAGUUGACAAGUUCAUCAUGAACAUUUUUGUUUCUCGGUACCAGUAUACAUGUUUCUAAAUACAUCAAAUCCUUUAACUCUAUUAAUUUGAUCAUCCUAUACUAUGCAAGCAUGGGUUCGAUUUCAGACAUUAUGGUUUAUAAACUCUGCAAAUUUGAAUGAAUUAACACUUUUGGAUGGCAUAGCUGAGCUGAGAAGAGACCCUACAACAGAUGUAGAAAGCAAGCAUCACAAAUUCACAAUGCAGCAACCUGAAAUCCCUAAGAACUCAUCAAUCAGUCUCCAUCAGGUCAAAAUCUAGCGUAGAGAGAGUUAAUACCAUGCCUGCAAGAGUGCAAGCAAAAAGAAGCUCAAUCCGCUGCAUUUCGCCAGUGUGAAGUAUAUAUUGUUCCUGCAAAAACCAAACCUUAAGUCAACAUCCCUCAAAAAGGUAAAAUCUUUCCUAGAACUACCUCCGGGACAACGAACUCGAGGACUACGCCCCACUGGUGAUCGUGAACUGUCCUGUCUAGGUGGAGGAUCGGCCGUUUACUCUAACUGACGCUCGGAGCUCCGAUCGCGAAAGCUCAUUUCGGCCGACGGAUAGUGGUGCACGCCCUGGUAACUCCUCUUACACGAGACGAAGUGGAUCGAUAAUUCUUCGAACCAACUUGUUCACAGAGCAAAGCAACACCACGAGGGAUCAGAUGAAGCAGGGAUGAGGCGGUUCCUCGGCGGCGGAGAAGGCGAAUCGAGGGAAAAAACCACAGAAACGUACAGACGAAACACCGGCGCGUGCAAACCAACCGCGCGAGUGUCUUCGCGACAUGCGCGUGUGAAAGUUUGGUUUUUGUAAGCCGGCCCGGUUUUUUGUUUAUUCCGAAACGCCAGCUGGAACCAGAC